Molecule: long non-coding RNA, 1726 nt
Filed under: Apteryx owenii (little spotted kiwi)
Lineage: Eukaryota; Metazoa; Chordata; Aves; Apterygiformes; Apterygidae
Description: lncRNA (ENSAOWG00000015735.1)
Source: RNAcentral
UGUGAAUUCAAGCCAGAAGAGAAAAGAAAAAGAGAGUAAGCAAGGGUGGAGUAAAGAGAGGAAAAUACAAUCCAGAGUACCCACUAUCUGAUCUCCAGUGUCUGCUGGAAAUGCUGAACUUUGCCAGCCUCUUCAAAUCAUCUGUCAGAAUCAGGCCCAAAUGAGAUGGUUGCAGUCACUUCCAUGACAUUCUUACCUUUCCAGGUUUAUUCUUAACUGGUGUUCAGGGGGUCCUCACUGUAUCUCCAGUAGAUCCUUGAGAAUUAAAUAGCUUAACAAAUGUAAUGAGCAAACCUGAAAGAAGUACAAGUGGAGAAGUUUGGAAGGGAAAUUAUCCAAGGCAAACCUGAGAAGAUAUCAUGGGCCUAGGAUGGGGAGAUGUAUAUGAUAAUUACAGAUCCAGCAAGGGCUGUACAUCAGAGGGAGGAGAGCUAUUACAUGCAACUCCACAUCUCAUGUCCAUUCAGGGUUCUUUAUCUCACUGCUGUUGACUACACCGAGGGUUGGCAGCCACUGAAGGUUACAUGCCAGGUUAUAUGUUUCUUUCCCAAAUUUGAAGUUACAUGUGCAAGAGCUGGAAGAUGCUGCAGAUGCUCCAGAGUUGAGUGGCUGGUUGGGUGUGUGUUGUAGCAAGGCUUCCCAUCUCCUGGGAACUGGGCUUGGGACGGGGUGGAAGCCAAGAGCUGGCAGCCUCUUUCCUCAAGAGGCUGCAGGUCCCAUUCCUGGCCAGUGUUUUUUGGUGUUGGGCACCCUCUUGCUAAAACAGCUGGUAUCUGACAGGUGCAGGCUCCUGUGAGGGAUUUGGUUCCAUUCUGCUGUUAUUCUCAUUGGGAAUUGCAGCUCUAUUGUUCAUAUACUUUAAAUGAUAUACAUAAUUACUAUUUAACCUGUGACUACGCAUCCCCAGGCCUUACCCUUGUGAGUUCCAGUGACUUCAAUAAUAUCACAAAUUUGUAUCAAAGAAAGUUUCCACAAUGAGUCCCUUAUUGCUUGUGGCUUGGCUUGUUACAUACAUUGGUUCUAGUCCCAUUUUUCAGUUCUCGUUGGACUGCAUUCUUGGUUUUUACGUAUCCACGUGCAAUUUAGGCCUAUGAUUAUCUGCCUAACUCUAGUUAGUUCUUUCACUGUGUACCACAGUAUGUUUACCAAGCCUUUGUAACAAAAAUGUUUUAAAUUGUUGUAUUACCUCUCUUGAGUGUGCAUGUUGUUUUAAAAUGAAUUUGAAUUAGUGUUGAGUGGCUUCUGUGUUUGUAAUUAAUUUAAAAUAUUUAGUAUAGCAGCUAGGUUUUUCCCUAUUAAUAACUGUGCUUUACUGAAAUUCCAUGAUCUACAGCACACCCUAGUGAUAUCUGGAAAUCAUGAAGUUAGACCCAGUCAUUUUUGCUUGCUCUGUGGUGAAACAAAGUUUAGGACUCCACUAAGCAACUCAGUCCAUGAAAGGAAAUGCCUUCAUAUCCAAAAUGGGAAGAGGGUUGAACCCUUGAUUUAUAAGAUAAAAAGUAGACUUAGAAAUUAAAACUACAGUAUAUUCUUCUGUGAAGAGAGCAUUUAUUUCAUGAGUUCACCUGGUUUACACUCUGAAGCGUUGGACGUGUUUUAAUAAUAGAGCAUAGGGAAAAGCAGCUAGAGUUGUGUGAGAAAAGAGGAAAAUAUUAACUGAGAUUUUUUUUUAGACUGGAGAGAGCAUGGAGAGAGCAACCAAAUAAAAGUAUUGUGGAGGAAACCA